CACUGAGUGAAUACUUGCAUAGUUUUGUUGAUUGAAUGAAGGACUGCAGCAUCUCAGGAAAGAUGUAACUGAACUCUGGUGUGUCAGAAUACUUGGACAUUCCAUCUUAUCUCCCUCUUGUUUCCGGGAAAGGUAUCAGGCCCAAAAAGUACUCUGGAGAAAAGGGAAAAGUUUGAUGGUUUGAUGACUACUACACAGUGUUUCAGAAGGAGAAGCUGGGGCAGAUGUUGACAUGAGAUCUGGAGCACACCUUCCCAGUGGGGGUACCAGGAUAGAAGACCUCCCAUCAUCACUUUUACUCCUGAGGGACGAGGGGCAGACUUGUAUCGUGGUCACAAGUGCAGAGGAAGUUUGUGUAGAUGUUCCUGAACUUCAGAAAUACACGCUCGACCUUCAAGAGUUUCUGCUAAUUUGUUCAGUGUUCACACAGUGUGUAGCACAGGCCUCCUGCUAUGCCUCGUGAGUGCUGCUGCAGUACAGCCACCUUUCCUUUUGUUUGGGCACCUUUAUCAGUACAGCUGAAGGGAACACUGUGUGGACUGUGAAUUCCUCUCCAAGAUCAUGUAAA
Poecile atricapillus (Black-capped chickadee) is the source of this 568-nucleotide long non-coding RNA. RefSeq lists it as uncharacterized. The record is from RefSeq and is a predicted model, not a curated record. The transcript has 3 exons. NCBI's taxonomy places the organism in Eukaryota, Metazoa, Chordata, Aves, Passeriformes, Paridae.